RNAcentral lists this ribosomal RNA (1675 nucleotides) under Salmonella enterica subsp. enterica serovar Dublin. RNAcentral's name for it is "bacterial LSU rRNA". It matches the Rfam family "Bacterial large subunit ribosomal RNA", at positions 1223 to 2875 of the family's 2925-position model. Lineage: Bacteria; Pseudomonadati; Pseudomonadota; Gammaproteobacteria; Enterobacterales; Enterobacteriaceae. The record is from RNAcentral.
GUUGGGUAGGGGAGCGUUCUGUAAGCCUGUGAAGGUGGCCUGUGAGGGUUGCUGGAGGUAUCAGAAGUGCGAAUGCUGACAUAAGUAACGAUAAAGCGGGUGAAAAGCCCGCUCGCCGGAAGACCAAGGGUUCCUGUCCAACGUUAAUCGGGGCAGGGUGAGUCGACCCCUAAGGCGAGGCCGAAAGGCGUAGUCGAUGGGAAACGGGUUAAUAUUCCCGUACUUGGUGUUACUGCGAAGGGGGGACGGAGAAGGCUAUGUUGGCCGGGCGACGGUUGUCCCGGUUUAAGCGUGUAGGUGUGUGUUCCAGGUAAAUCCGGUUCACUUUAACACUGAGGCGUGAUGACGAGGCACUACGGUGCUGAAGUAACAAAUGCCCUGCUUCCAGGAAAAGCCUCUAAGCAUCAGGUAACAUCAAAUCGUACCCCAAACCGACACAGGUGGUCAGGUAGAGAAUACCAAGGCGCUUGAGAGAACUCGGGUGAAGGAACUAGGCAAAAUGGUGCCGUAACUUCGGGAGAAGGCACGCUGACACGUAGGUGAAGUGAUUUACUCACGGAGCUGAAGUCAGUCGAAGAUACCAGCUGGCUGCAACUGUUUAUUAAAAACACAGCACUGUGCAAACACGAAAGUGGACGUAUACGGUGUGACGCCUGCCCGGUGCCGGAAGGUUAAUUGAUGGGGUCAGCGCAAGCGAAGCUCCUGAUCGAAGCCCCGGUAAACGGCGGCCGUAACUAUAACGGUCCUAAGGUAGCGAAAUUCCUUGUCGGGUAAGUUCCGACCUGCACGAAUGGCGUAAUGAUGGCCAGGCUGUCUCCACCCGAGACUCAGUGAAAUUGAACUCGCUGUGAAGAUGCAGUGUACCCGCGGCAAGACGGAAAGACCCCGUGAACCUUUACUAUAGCUUGACACUGAACAUUGAGCCUUGAUGUGUAGGAUAGGUGGGAGGCUUUGAAGUGUGGACGCCAGUCUGCAUGGAGCCGACCUUGAAAUACCACCCUUUAAUGUUUGAUGUUCUAACGUGGACCCGUUACCCGGGUUGCGGACAGUGUCUGGUGGGUAGUUUGACUGGGGCGGUCUCCUCCUAAAGAGUAACGGAGGAGCACGAAGGUUGGCUAAUCCUGGUCGGACAUCAGGAGGUUAGUGCAAUGGCAUAAGCCAGCUUGACUGCGAGCGUGACGGCGCGAGCAGGUGCGAAAGCAGGUCAUAGUGAUCCGGUGGUUCUGAAUGGAAGGGCCAUCGCUCAACGGAUAAAAGGUACUCCGGGGAUAACAGGCUGAUACCGCCCAAGAGUUCAUAUCGACGGCGGUGUUUGGCACCUCGAUGUCGGCUCAUCACAUCCUGGGGCUGAAGUAGGUCCCAAGGGUAUGGCUGUUCGCCAUUUAAAGUGGUACGCGAGCUGGGUUUAGAACGUCGUGAGACAGUUCGGUCCCUAUCUGCCGUGGGCGCUGGAGAACUGAGGGGGGCUGCUCCUAGUACGAGAGGACCGGAGUGGACGCAUCACUGGUGUUCGGGUUGUCAUGCCAAUGGCACUGCCCGGUAGCUAAAUGCGGAAGAGAUAAGUGCUGAAAGCAUCUAAGCACGAAACUUGCCCCGAGAUGAGUUCUCCCUGAGACUUAAAGUCUCCUGAAGGAACGUUGAAGACGACGACGUUGAUAGGCCGGGUGUGUAAGCG